AUACUGCGACAGGUCCUGGAACACAGACACUCAUUUAGGCGUCCUACAAUAGUUGUCUUCCUGGACCUAAAGGCGGCAU
RNAcentral lists this non-coding RNA (79 nucleotides) under Schistosoma japonicum. Lineage: Eukaryota; Metazoa; Platyhelminthes; Trematoda; Strigeidida; Schistosomatidae. The record is from RNAcentral.